This 2661-nucleotide long non-coding RNA is filed under the name Homo sapiens (human). RNAcentral's name for it is "non-protein coding lnc-AACS-11:1". The record is from RNAcentral. Lineage: Eukaryota; Metazoa; Chordata; Mammalia; Primates; Hominidae.
UUGACGUGUCAUAAUAAAUGCCCAAUACCAAACCUAGUCUUUCUCCAGGCCCUUCAGACAUCAUUCAGGUAACUGGGUGUAAACACAGGAGUUGGCUUUGUGAAACUGAGGCAGGAUUUCCUGCCUCUAAACUAUUGGCAGCAAAAGAGCCAAAAAUGUGCUCCCAGGUGCAAAACCCCAGCCCCAUCAGAAUUGCUUCUCAGCACUUUGGGUAACUGUUUUGCACUAACAGCUUCCUCCUUGUCUUUUCCCUGGGAACAUGGGAGCACUGACACAGAACUCAACUGGUCCAGCCCUUUGGGAGGCCCAGGUGGGCAGAUCACCUGAAGUCAGGAGUUUGAGACCAGCCUGGGCAACAUGGUGAAACCCUGUCUCUACUAAAAAUACAAAAAUUAUCCAGUCGUGGUGGUGCAUGCCUGUAGUCCCAGCUACUCUGGAGGCUGAGGCAGGAGAAUCACUUGAACCUGAGAGGUGAAGGUUGUAGUGAGCCAAGAUCGUACCACUGCACUCUGGCCUGGGCAACAAGAGCGAGACUUUGUCUCAAACAGAAACAAAACAAGAAAAACAAAAAGAACUUAACCAGUUCUCCCCAGAUCUCAGCGUGCAUGCAUAUAUAGAGUUUAGUAAAAUGUGUUUCAAAAAAAGAAGGAUAAAAGAAAGUUUGAAGUAAGAUUUGUAAAAGAAUGAACACUUUAGGUUUUGUGUGUGAGUGCAAAAUGUAAACACGGCAUUUGAAAUUUUUUGGUAUUGAAAUCCUUAAUGCCUGUUAGUUUCUUUAUGGUUUUAUACAAUUGAGAUAGGUUCUGAAGUUUUUUUGUUGUUUGCUUUUAGAAAUUUUUAAAAAUACAAAAAAAAAGCGCAGAAACAUUUUCAUCUGGGUUACUGUGUUUAUAGACUAUUCUAUGACUCAAGACAACUAGGACACCAUCAUUUUCCAGAUAAGAAAUAACAGUUCAAGUUCAUUAGGGAAAUUAUCUUCCCAGUCCAAGCAAGCAAUAAUGUUAUCAACUUACAAUAUUGGACAAUCUUCAUAUUCUAUGAGAUGCCUUUAAAAUUUCUUUGGAUUUAAUGCUGCUCUUGGUCAGUUGUUCAAAUGAAACAUUGUAAUUUCAUGUUAACGACAAGAGUCUCACGGGAGUCUCUUUAGAUGCUGCAGGAACUGAGAGGAUAGAAGACCUCUCUAUACAUCUACAUUGCCCAUUGGAGUAAAGCACUUUACAGAGAGAUGGAUGCCGCUUUGGGAUUUGGGGUCUAUGUAAUGCUGAUUUUUUUCAAACCUGUUUGGAAAUAUUACUUCUUUGGGAUGGCUGAAAUAACUUUUGACCUGACACAUCUUUCUGUACUUCCUGUGGCCAAAAAAGCAAGUGAGACUUUCUGUUUCCCAUUGUAAGGCUGGAGCUGAAAUAGUCUGCCACGUUAUUGUUAUCUCCUUUGUAAGAAUUUGACUUUCUGAAUGAAAUAACAGAAUGCCAGUGUCAACACUGACCAUAUGAUAUAGUUAUUUCACUUAGAGAUGCUUCCUCAAAGAGCGUGCCUUUUUCCUCCAUCAUAACCGCUUUAGGAUCUCUGUUUUAUCCAUGUAUUUCCCACAUAGUAGAAGCAUUUUCCAUUUCCAUGAAUAUUACAGGCUGAGAAGGAGCACACAUCUGGCACUGAUAAGCACACUGGCCCAGGCACUCAGCCUUCUCAUUUCAUUAAUCUGGUUGGUGACCGUUUCCAUCGGGCACACCUGGAAAUGUCCAUCGGACAUAUUGCCAUCUCAGUUGCUGCAGUGCAGUGAAUUACCCCAGAGCCACCAGUUCACAUGCCCAAAGAUGAACUGGCCCAUGGAGGGACUUGAUUGCCAAGUGACUUCCUUUCUGUAGUUAUCCUCUGCUGUGACCCUUAUUUUGGACUUCUAGCAAGGGCAUUCAGUGUGGAUUCCAAGAACAAAACCAAUUGUCCAACCUCCAUUACAGGGGUCUUCUAGGUAUUCCCCACACAUUAUUUGUGGGCAUAAGCAAACACCAUAACUAUGAAAGGCUGAGAGUGGAGAAUUAAGUCAUAAGGAAAUGAUCAAACCUAGGGAAAAAUAAGUGGCUAUAAAACACUGAAAGAUAGUCACAUCCACAUAGCGUGUAUCAUGCAACAGACCCGUGCUCUUAGAGGGAGGUAGUGUGUGUCUUCCCAUGGCAAAUAAUUUUUACAAUACUGCUCAUGUUUAAUGUGUGUCUACAGGGCAUGCUGUUGUCUCAAAAUUGAAAUGUGCAUCUUAGGUAUCAGUUCCCAGCCUCAGACUCUUCUCAGGCAGGUGGACCGGAUCUCAGCUGCAGAACAUAGUGAGUGGCCAAACCUACACAGCCCAGCCAGUAGUGUGCUUUGGGGUGAUUGCAAGGCAGCAAACAGUGGGGACAAGUUUUGUCUGGCAUUUGAAAAGGUGUUAUCCCUUACUUUCCACAUUUCUGAAUUGGAUUCUUGUUCCCUGGUAAACACCAGAUAUUAUAAACAGAGCAUGCUGUUAUGACAUUGUGCUUCUAUAUACCUUUUUGUAUAAUGUAUCUAUCUCAUUAUAUUACCUAUGGUUUCAGUAUGAUCUGUUGUGUAUGUUCCACCGUAUAUUUAAUGUCUCUGUAAAGGCACUUCCAAACAUUUUGAAAACGAAGAAAUAAAACAUGUUGGAUG